CCCUGCAUCGGCAGGCGGAAUCUCAACCACUGCGCUACCAGGGAAGCCCAGCGAGGAGGGUUUUAACGAAGGAGGUUAAACUAAGGGGUUGACAUAAUAAAACUGAUGUUUUAGAAAAUCGUUCAGAUAACAAUGUGAAUAAAAAAACAAAAAUAGAGGUGAGGAACCUAAGUUAGGAGAAGUUGAAGAAGUCCAGGUGGUAAGUGUCAAGGGUCUAAACCAGGGGUGAGCCAGGGGCUGGGGGUGAGUGUGGGGACUGGAAAGACAAGAGGUAGAAUCUGGGCAAUGUAGUGGCUGAUUGACGGGUUAAGAGAGAAAAAGAAGAUGUCUGGGGGACAUCUGUGGGAUUUGUGGGAUUUCUGUGGGAUUUCUAAGUCAGACUGGGAGGAGGGGGAUAGCAAAGACUGGAGAAGCCAAUCAUGGGAGGGAGGAGGUGGUGAAAUCUAUCUGGAAUGCGUUGAAUUUGAACUGUUUGCAGGACCUCACAGGGAGAGUCUCCGUUUUUUAAUUCAUUUCACAAAUAUUCACUGAACGCGUAUGGGUGCCAGGGGUACAGCAGUGGAUCAGACAGAUAAGAUUUCUGCUCUGAUGGAGUUUAACAUUCAUGGGAAAGAUGGACGGUGGGAAAGACAGAUAAGGACCAGCAAACCCCCAGCCGUUAGGAGGCGCCCGCACGCUGCACAGCCAGUGUCCACUCUGCGCACUCCACACAGCCCGGAGCGCCCUGGACAAGACCCGGGAGAAGGGGUAGGCAUGUGCUGGAAGACAUCUUUCAGAGAGGUGUGCUGGUGUCCUCCUGGGUAUCACAAAUACAUCUGUGGGGAUCAGUCUCGGAAAAAAGGCUGCUCUGGAGCUCCGGGAAACAAAAGCUGAAAUAAAUUAUGUUUUCAGACAAUGCAAAGUAAGCUUUUAAGCUUCCACGAUGUUGGGUGAGGCAUUAUAAUGAGCUGGUUGGUCCCCAUUUUUUAAAGUGCAGCGAAGGAUAACCAGAAUGAAUUUUCAAGAUGUCUUAUUCACUUUCCCCUUAAAAUGAAACUGGUGAAUGGUAGUCAGUGCUUGGCUACUGUUAAGUUUACCCCCCAAAAUGUUGAUGAAUAAAUGAAUAAAUAAUUUUUACUCU
Molecule: long non-coding RNA, 1120 nt
Organism: Aethalodelphis obliquidens (Pacific white-sided dolphin)
Lineage: Eukaryota; Metazoa; Chordata; Mammalia; Artiodactyla; Delphinidae
Exons: 3
Source: RefSeq, a predicted model, not a curated record